GUCGAAACAGUUUAACGUUGUUUCCAAAUUCUUCAUUAUAACGAUGGUUCCAACUUCGAAGUAAGAAACCAAAGCUCGUGAUUUCGCAAUCAAAUGCAGAACUUCUGGUUACCGUUUGGAGAGCCGGUAGUUUUGCUUAUUACAAGAAGUUGCCUAUGAUUCCAUUAAACUAAACAUAUAAAACCGAAUAACAAGUGGUAAGUUUGAACGGCGCACAAAAAAAAUCAAACAUGGCCCCAAACAAAAUUUAAAGAAAGAAGUGCCUGUAUCGAAUCAGGAACAUAAAGUUUUGUUUUAAUAUUUUAUUUAAUUAGAUGAUAUAAAAUAUGCAAAUGUAUAUAAGGAAACUUAUUAUACCAUGGCACCAACGAUCAGCAAAACCAAUGUUGCAUUGUUUACUACAAAAUGCACCAACAAGACAAUAAGUGAAUCAAUAAGAACCCUAAAACCUGAUUGAUGCUAAAAAAAAGAAAAAGAAAACAAAUAUGACAGACAGUAACUAAUUGGCCGUUUCAGAAUCUAAAGAAUCAUGGGUAAUUUCAUUGUUCGUACCCGAAAAUGAAAAUAACGCCACGUCAUUGGUUAAAUUUCCAUUAUUUGUGACAUUUUUAACCAAUCAGGACGUUUUGGUGUACACUUUUGAAAAUAUGUAUUACCCAGGAUGCAUUAGAUUCUGAAACGGUGAAUUCAUUGAACCUCGUGACUUAGGAUAAGAACAUAGUAUAGUACGGUAAAACAUGUUUGCGAGCACCUGAUCCCAAUACCCUUUAUCCACCCGAAACCCAUUCCUACUAUUUACAAUGUGGCGUAACGACAAAAAAAUCAGAAUAGUUUACUUUCCAGGGUUCUUUCAAAUAUAAACCUUUUAGUGUUUUGAACCCUAGUAGCAAACACUAUAAAGUUACAUCAUCACGUUUAAGUUAAAGAAAAAAAACCAAGUCUACAUUAUUAUGUGUGUUAUAAAUACUAGUGUCUCAGUUAACACAGUUAAUAACACCAUAUAGGAAAAACAUAGAACUCCUUUUGUC
This 1028-nucleotide long non-coding RNA is filed under the name Mytilus galloprovincialis (Mediterranean mussel). Lineage: Eukaryota; Metazoa; Mollusca; Bivalvia; Mytilida; Mytilidae. The record is from RNAcentral.